Molecule: transfer RNA, 72 nt
Filed under: Uncinocarpus reesii 1704
Lineage: Eukaryota; Fungi; Ascomycota; Eurotiomycetes; Onygenales; Onygenaceae
Description: tRNA-Gln (CTG) (tRNA-Gln-CTG-2-1)
Rfam family: tRNA
About the family: Transfer RNA (tRNA) molecules are approximately 80 nucleotides in length.
Source: RNAcentral
GGUUCUAUGGUGUAGCGGUUAGCAUAAUGGAUUCUGAUUCCAUCGACCCCGGUUCGAUUCCGGGUAGGACCU